RNAcentral lists this ribosomal RNA (492 nucleotides) under uncultured bacterium. RNAcentral describes it as "partial 16S ribosomal RNA". It matches the Rfam family "Bacterial small subunit ribosomal RNA", at positions 29 to 507 of the family's 1533-position model. The record is from RNAcentral.
AGUGAACGCUGGCGGUAUGCCUAACACAUGCAAGUCGAACGGCAGCACAGUAAGAGCUUUCUCUUACUGGUAGCGAGGGACGGACGGGUGAGAAGUAGAUCGCCAACCACUUUUUCGUGGGGGAUAUCGUGAGGAAACUUACACUAACAGCUCAUAUGAUCUACCGCUGGAAUCAAGAGUGCUUGACGCCUUUCCCGUCUCUUAUAGACGAUGCCGCAUUAGCUAGUUGGCGGGGUAAGGGCCCACCAAGGCAACGAUCCGUAGCAGGCCUGAGAGGAUGAUCGGCCACACUGGAACUGAGACACGGUCCAGACUCCUACGGGAGGCAGCAGUGGGGAAUAUUGGACAAUGGGCGAAAGCCUGACCCAGCCAUACCGCGUGGGUGAUGAAGGUCUUCGGGUUGUAAAGCUCUUUUGUUAGGGAAGAAAAGAUGUAUGUUUAACCGUGGAUGUUCUGACGGUACCCAAAGAGUAAGCACCGGCUAACUACGUG